This 442-nucleotide ribosomal RNA is filed under the name uncultured bacterium. Its description in RNAcentral is "partial 16S ribosomal RNA". It matches the Rfam family "Bacterial small subunit ribosomal RNA", at positions 338 to 795 of the family's 1533-position model. The record is from RNAcentral.
CCUACGGGUGGCAGCAGUGGGGAAUAUUGGGCAAUGGGCGCAAGCCUGACCCAGCAACGCCGCGUGAAGGAAGAAGGCUUUCGGGUUGUAAACUUCCUUUCUCAGGGACGAAGCAAGUGACGGUACCUGAGGAAUAAGCCACGGCUAACUACGUGCCAGCAGCCGCGGUAAUACGUAGGUGGCAAGCGUUAUCCGGAUUUACUGGGUGUAAAGGGCGUGUAGGCGGGACUGCAAGUCAGAUGUGAAAACCACGGGCGCAACCUGUGGCCUGCAUUUGAAACUGUAGUUCUUGAGUACUGGAGAGGCAGACGGAAUUCCUAGUGUAGCGGUGAAAUGCGUAGAUAUUAGGAGGAACACCAGUGGCGAAGGCGGUCUGCUGGACAGCAACUGACGCUGAGGCGCGAAAGCGUGGGGAGCAAACAGGAUUAGAUACCCUGGUGUC